CGUCAAGUCAUCAUGACCCUUAUGUCCAGGGCUACACACGUGCUACAAUGGGUGGUACAGAGUGACGCGAAGCUGUGAAGUUAGAGCGAAGCACGAAAGCCAUCCGUAGUUCGGAUUGAAGUCUGAAACCCGACUUCAUGAAGUUGGAAUCGCUAGUAAUCGCGCAUCAGCAUGGCGCGGUGAAUACGUUCCCGGGCCUU
This 200-nucleotide ribosomal RNA is filed under the name uncultured prokaryote. RNAcentral's name for it is "partial 16S ribosomal RNA". It matches the Rfam family "Bacterial small subunit ribosomal RNA", at positions 1183 to 1382 of the family's 1533-position model. The record is from RNAcentral.